Molecule: ribosomal RNA, 496 nt
Filed under: uncultured bacterium
Lineage: Bacteria
Description: partial 16S ribosomal RNA
Rfam family: Bacterial small subunit ribosomal RNA
Source: RNAcentral
GAUGAACGCUGGCGGCGUGCCUAAUACAUGCAAGUCGAGCGAACGGACGAGAAGCUUGCUUCUCUGAUGUUAGCGGCGGACGGGUGAGUAACACGUGGAUAACCUACCUAUAAGACUGGGAUAACUUCGGGAAACCGUAGCUAAUACCGGAUAAUAUUUUGAACCGCAUGGUUCAAAAGUGAAAGACGGUCUUGCUGUCACUUAUAGAUGGAUCCGCGCUGCAUUAGCUAGUUGGUAAGGUAACGGCUUACCAAGGCAACGAUGCAUAGCCGACCUGAGAGGGGGACGGCCCAACCGGAACAGGGAACCCGGCCAGACCCCCACGGGAAGCCGCAGGUAGGGAUACUGCCGAAAUGGGGAAAACCCGACCGGGCCAACCCGGGGUGAGGAAAAAAGUUUUUCGGUUGGAAAAACCUUUUUAUGAGGGAAAAACAUAUGUGUAAUUAACUUGGCCCUUCUUACGGGAACUAAUGCAGAAGCCCCCGCUAACCCGCGG